Dentipellis sp. KUC8613 is the source of this 92-nucleotide non-coding RNA. The record is from the annotation of a GenBank genome assembly. Lineage: Eukaryota; Fungi; Basidiomycota; Agaricomycetes; Russulales; Hericiaceae.
GCCGGGAUAGCUCAGCUGGGAGAGCAACAGACUGAAGUCGGAGAGAAAGAAUGGCUUUCUGGAGGUCCCGUGUUCAAUCCACGGUCCUGGCA